GACGAGGGGUCCUAGCGUUGUUCGGAAUCAUUGGGCGUAAAGCGUGUGUAGGUGGCUUUGUAAGUCAGGUGUGAAAGCCCCGGGCUCAACCCGGGAAGUGCAUUUGAUACUGCGAAGCUUGAAUACUGGAUAGGGCAGUAGAAUUCCUGGUGUAGUGGUGAAAUACGUAGAUAUCAGGAGGAAUACCGGUGGCGAAGGCGGCUGCCUGGCCAUGUAUUGACGCUGAGACACGAAAGCGUGGGGAUCAAACAGG
Molecule: ribosomal RNA, 253 nt
Filed under: uncultured bacterium
Lineage: Bacteria
Description: partial 16S ribosomal RNA
Rfam family: Bacterial small subunit ribosomal RNA
Source: RNAcentral